GAACAAAAGGAAGCAUGAUUCACAGGUACAUCAUAAAAAGGAAGGCAGAGAGGGUUGGAAGGAUGUUUGUCAUUUUGCUGCAGCACAUGGUAGAGCUUGAAAACUUAAUGACCAAGUAUUUUAUGUCAUUGUGUGAUUGAGGCACAAAUAAUAUGAACAAAUGAAGAAUUCACUAAGGUAGGCUCCAGCUCUCCUUGUCCCAUGGCAUGAUAGUUUACUGAGUUACUGCAGAGGCUGCUCCAGGAGGAGAUGUCUCUCUUGGUUGAACUUACCACAAACAUCAUCAGCUGUGAUGUCUUUUCAGAAGAGGACUUUUAAGGAAAGAUUGAGGCAAGAUUUCUCUCCUGGGUGCUGGAAAGGUCUUUCCCCUGGACCUGACGACAAGAGGCAAUGUCACUGCGAAUGUUUCUGGCUUUGCUUGCUGAGCCAGUGGGAGUUUGUACCCAGCAAGGCUGAGGAACUGCUCCUCCACGUAGAGCUGUGUGUAGCUGUGGGCAGGCGUGUUGGAGGAAGCCACCCGAGGGACCCACUUUCUUCCAGGGGUCCCCACGCUGCAGAGCCCUGUAUUUGGGGAUGGUUCAGCAGGCUGUGCUGUACCUACCCUGCCUCAGGUAAGAUCCUGCUAGGAUGCAUCUUCCCCGUGCUGUGGGAAACGAGCUUGUCUCGCCAGUUUUAA
RNAcentral lists this long non-coding RNA (676 nucleotides) under Anser cygnoides (Swan goose). RNAcentral describes it as "lncRNA (ENSACDG00005001150.1)". The record is from RNAcentral. Lineage: Eukaryota; Metazoa; Chordata; Aves; Anseriformes; Anatidae.